Molecule: ribosomal RNA, 440 nt
Filed under: uncultured bacterium
Lineage: Bacteria
Description: partial 16S ribosomal RNA
Rfam family: Bacterial small subunit ribosomal RNA
Source: RNAcentral
CCUACGGGAGGCAGCAGUGGGGAAUAUUGCACAAUGGGGGAAACCCUGAUGCAGCGACGCCGCGUGAGUGAAGAAGUAUCUCGGUACGUAAAGCUCUAUCAGCAGGGAAGAUAAUGACGGUACCUGACCAAGAAGCCCCGGCGAACUACGUGCCAGCAGCCGCGGUAAUACGGAGGGGGCCAGCGUUAUCCGGAUUUACUGGGUGUAAAGGGAGCGUAGACGGGUGUACAAGUCUGGAGUGAAAGCCCGGUGCUUAACCCCGGAACUGCUUUGGAAACUGUGCGGCUGGAGUGCAGUAGGGGUAAGCGGAAUUCCUAGUGUAGCGGUGAAAUGCGUAGAUAUUAGGAGGAACACCGGUGGCGAAGGCGGCUUACUGGAACGCAACUGACGUUGAGGCACGAAAGCGUGGGGAGCAAACAGGAUUAGAUACCCGAGUAGUC